Molecule: ribosomal RNA, 246 nt
Filed under: uncultured bacterium
Lineage: Bacteria
Description: partial 16S ribosomal RNA
Rfam family: Bacterial small subunit ribosomal RNA
Source: RNAcentral
UGUGAAAUCCCAAAGCUUAACUUUGUAACUGCAAUUAAAACUGCUCGACAAGAGUUUGAUAGAGGAAAGCGGAAUACAUAGUGUAGAGGUGAAAUUCGUAGAUAUUAUGUAAAACACCAGUUGCGAAGGCGGCUUUCUGGAUCAACACUGACGCUGAGGCGCGAAAGUAUGGGUAGCAAAGAGGAUUAGAUACCCUCGUAGUCCAUACCAUAAACGAUGAUUGCUAGAUGUUGGAAAUUUAUUUUC